CCGACGGUGAGGGGCGAAAGCUGGGGGAGCAAACCGGAUUAGAUACCCGGGUAGUCCCAGCUGUAAACGAUGCGCGUUAGGUGUGUCAGUGACCACGUGUCACUGAUGUGCCGAAGGGAAACCGUGAAACGCGCCGCCUGGGGAGUACGGUCGCAAGGCUGAAACUUAAAAGAAUUGGCGGGGGAGCACCACAACGGGUGGAGCCUGCGGUUUAAUCGGACUCAACGCCGGAAAUCUCACCGGAUAA
RNAcentral lists this ribosomal RNA (247 nucleotides) under uncultured archaeon. RNAcentral's name for it is "partial 16S ribosomal RNA". It matches the Rfam family "Archaeal small subunit ribosomal RNA", at positions 691 to 937 of the family's 1478-position model. The record is from RNAcentral.